CGAUUAAAAAAUAAAUAAAGCAGAUCCAGUUAUCUCUCCCGUGGAGUUGCCGGCCACCGCUCGCUGCGCUUCCCUCUGCCCUAACCCACCAAGCGACCACCCGCCCCUCUCCCGCGGAGUCGCCGGCCACCGCGCAACCCCUCAUACGUCCCCCUCGCGCGCAGCCUGUUCUCCGUCGCCCCUCGCGCGAAGCCUGUUCUCCGUUGCCCUUGCGCACUGCAAGCGCCACACCGCGCCCCGAUUCUCCGCAGUGUACAUCCGCUGCUCGCCGCCGCCGUCCCGCCAACCUGACUCCUCCGACCUGUGGCGGUUUUCGCCGCGCAGCCCAUCCGCCGCUGAUUCAUGGAGGUACUCGUCCGUACGGCCUGUGCACCGUGAGCCGAGACGUCGAGGAGGAGCUCAGGAGAGAGAUGGAGGGCUUUUGCUCUUUUGGUUGAUGACAUGGUCUGGAACCUGUAGUUUGAUGUGAUGAUCACUCAUCGCCUGCCGCCAUCGCCCAGCCCUCCACUGCCGUCUCAGCAGACCAUCAUGAGCGGUGGACAUUUUUUAUGCAAAUUUUGAAUUAUUGCAUAAGCUUCCACAUUGCAGACUUUUUCAUGCAGUUUUUUGUAUUCAAAUUUGGAGAUGUUGUUUAUUUAGUAUUCUUCAGCUUGUGCUAAAGUAUUAUGCUGACCUUAAGCUAUUUGACGAUCUGUAAUACACAUAUUCGACAUGAACUCAGCAAAAUCUUAAAUUGUUUAAUUGGAAGAAUCAAAACUUAUAACUAGCCUAUGAAUCUGGUCCACUGGAGCACAUAAACUUGUUUUUUUUACAACCACAAGAUUUAAAGUUGGUAAAGAGUUAACUACUUUCAAGGUUUACUCGUUGAUCAUGAGUUUUGUUACUAAUUGGCACACAUUGUAAUAUCCCCUCUUCUGACCUGAAGGUAUAUAUAUACUUUUUAACUUUCUGGUUCUUAGUUGUUUAUUUUUCAAAUGAACAAUAAAAUCUGCUUGGUAUGGCCUUUUGAGAAGCAAAAGUGCAGGAAUUAGUAUGUGUUGCAGGAAUCAGAAACAAAUGUGCAUUCAAAAUUUCUGGCAAGACAAACAAGAAUAUGUCAUCAAAGAAUUCCUAAUAAAGAGAAAUCCAAUAGCUAUACGUGAGCGAGCACUCGCUAAUCACCUCCAAUUCUUCUAUCUUGGAUUACAAGAAAGAUCUGAUUUCUCAGUUAAAUGUUACUUUUUUUAUUUCAUAAAUUCUUUUUACAAAUAAAAUUCCUAAUGAGCUUGAACCAUCUACUUUGUAUUAGAGUGGAGUUAGGAUGAACAUCAUUGUUUACAGAAGCAAUGAGAUGUUUGUCUCUUUUGAUUUGAACUAAACUAUAGUUUUCUACAUUAUUUUUCUGACUUCUACUUCAUGUGUUCUAUGUCUUCUAGAUGAGAAAAAUCUCUCGUAUGCUUUCAUGCUGAUUGUAUAUUAAGAACUUAAUUUGAACCCCAAGUCACAUUAUCUUUUAAUUGCUUAUGCAGUUUUGUUAAUUUGAGUGCUAAGUCCCUUGAACUGUUCAACAUUAUUAUUUUUAAUUAUAUAUCGUGCCCAUGUGUUAACUUGGAACAAUCCAGAUUGGUUCUUCCGAGUAACUUCAGAUGAACCUGUUUUGCUAUAAUAUUCCAAUCCAUAUUUGUACUAAAUCAGCGACAACUAAUCUGGAUCCAAGGGAGUUGUGAAGAUGUUCAGUCAGUUUAACUUUUAAGUAUGGAUGUUACAAUCUCACCGGAGCAUUUAUUUUAUUUUAUUUUAUUUUUAAGUCUGAUGUGCAAGGUUAUCGUGGGUUUAGUGCUUUGUUGACAUAUCAAUGUAAUGUCUCAGUGGUCCAUGCCGAAUUGAUAUAGGUAGGAAUUUGAAUUCAUAUAUAAACAAUAUUACAUGUUAGCAUGUAUUCAAGAAAUCGCUAUCUUUUCAUUU
Molecule: long non-coding RNA, 1944 nt
Organism: Brachypodium distachyon (stiff brome)
Lineage: Eukaryota; Viridiplantae; Streptophyta; Magnoliopsida; Poales; Poaceae
Exons: 2
Source: RefSeq, a predicted model, not a curated record